CAGUAGACACGGAGGGAAUGUAGCAUGGA
RNAcentral lists this non-coding RNA (29 nucleotides) under Cricetulus griseus (Chinese hamster). Lineage: Eukaryota; Metazoa; Chordata; Mammalia; Rodentia; Cricetidae. The record is from RNAcentral.